Non-coding RNA from Sturnus vulgaris (Common starling), 1322 nucleotides. The record is from RefSeq and is a predicted model, not a curated record. Lineage: Eukaryota; Metazoa; Chordata; Aves; Passeriformes; Sturnidae.
UAAUUUAUAAAUCUGACAUCAGUUUCAUGUUAACAUCUCUGCUCUUUUUUUUACCCAUUUUGCUGUGAGAAGUACUGUUACUGGAAUGCUAAAAAACCGUAAAAUCAAUGUUUCAUGUAUGGCGGGCUAAUUAGUGUAUAGCAUUUUCAGGUCUUGGAAGCUGGUUGUGGAGACAGUAACAUGAUACAGCUUUUAAUUUGGCAAUUGUUACCCCCCGCUGCAAUUGCUUCUCCCCCACUGGGCUAUUACAGAGAAGAAGAGGUUAUAACAUACUAAGUUUCAGCUGCUUACUUUCUUCAAGACACUGAGAUGACUUGGACCUUUUGCAACAAGUGAUUACAUUUAUUUAAUGAUAAUAAGGAUGUGUUACAGCCAUCUUGGAGAACAAAAAUCCACCUUUUUUUGAGUAAACCAAAAAAAGGGAGAGGACAAACACUAUACUUCUUAGAAGUUUUAGAAACGCAACCAUAUUUUGUUGUCUUGCUUCACUGCUUCAGUUAUUGUGUGUACGUUAUCUUGCUCUCUAGUUUACAUGUUAAUGUUCAAAUAAUUUGGAUAGAACUUCUGCUAGUCAUGAUCUUCAGUGCUUCUUGCUGAGAGUGAGUUAGAGUUCUGUAACUGAUAUGAUAUCUUGACUGUGUGUCCUAGACACCAUAUGAAAACCAGGCCUCUGAGACAGCAACCAGUUGCUGGAAACACAGCCAACAGAAGAUGUUGUUUGGGAAAUAAGUAACGGGGCAGAUGGUUGCAUAAGCAAUCUUCUUGGGUUUUAGUGAACCUCUCCAGUUUAAAAGACAGAGGGGACAAACUUUAUAUUGUUGGGGUGGUGCUUUGAGGUUCAUUUGAUGGGUUUUUUUGAUGUAAGGCAGUCAUACAAGAUUGGAAUGAAGAAAAGAGAUCAUUUAAUCUUUGUAAUAGCAUUUUAUUGGUAGUGUAUACCAACGUGCCAGUUUCAAAGAUUCUGUGACAGCCCUGACUGCCCUGACAGAACACAGGGGUUCUGCUGAGGGAGUGCAAAGGACUGGUUACUCUGUGCUAAUCAAGAUGAUAACCAGCAGUCACAGCACAUCACCAGCCCAGCUAGAUUCAGGUUUAUUUCAUGGGUAUGAUAACAAAUAUUUUGAAUGAGAUUUUUGAGGAAGUUAUGAUGUGACUUUGGGAAUAUUUGGAAAGAACUCCAUUAAAGUGUGAGAGGGAACAUGAGACUUGGGAAGUAUUUAUAUGAACAUUGAACAAGGACUAAUGAAACUAGUAUUGCCAUUUGCUCAAAAAAGGUACUGACCUCUUCAGGGUGAAUAAGAGGAUAGAUUUUAUGAGAGAAA